Molecule: non-coding RNA, 1219 nt
Organism: Cricetulus griseus (Chinese hamster)
Lineage: Eukaryota; Metazoa; Chordata; Mammalia; Rodentia; Cricetidae
Source: RefSeq, a predicted model, not a curated record
GAGAUGUUGGUCGGUUAGAAGUUGCUGCUUUGCCUGCCUUCUGGAAAUGCCUAAGGCGUUUUCUGAUGGAAGAGCUGUUUGAUGCCGUUUACAAAACUAGUCAGGCUUGAGGAUCGUUGCUAAGGAUCUGGUUCAGGAUCCAAUGCCUAAGUACAAAUGGAAGAAUCACCAGAAGGACUGCCAGAGGCAAGAGGAUGCUCUCAAGAUUUUUUUUCUCCUUCCCCCCAUUCCUGUGUCACUUACCAGCAUUUGCUUCUUCCAAUGUAAAGACCAUGUCUCCAGGUACACCCACUUUUUGCUCCAUUCCCAAACUCAACCCCAGCUUGCAAGCUUCUUUCCAUGAUGAUCAAGGAACAGAGGAUGCCAGGUGUAACCCCAAGAGGACCUACUUGAUGUUCAAGCCUCUGCGGUGGCUUUCUACCUCAGUCAUGCCACAGUAGCUGAAGCCCAGACUAACCCAGGAGUGGCUGAAGGUCAAGCCUUGGUGGAAGCUCCAGUUUCCACCACAGCUGUUGCAAGAGUCCCAGAUGCUGCUCAACAUCCACAGCCAACUUCUGAGCAUCGCUGGCAAUGGAUACAAAAGCAUCUGGAUACAUGGGAGACUCAUAGACUUGGAGUUACAUAGUGACUCCACAAUACCUCUCACACUGGACCAGUAUAGGCCGAGAAGUUUUUAAAGAAAGAGGUGUUGUGGUUCAUGCCCUUAAUCUCAGGAUUUGGGAGAGUGAUGCAAUUUAAUCUGUGUUAGUUUCUUACCACUGUCGUCCAUGCACUGAGAUUGUUUCAAAACAAAUUAAAAUAUUAAGUAUUGUUUCUUUUGUGUUAGUUUGAUAAAAGCAGAAAAUAAUUUCUGCAAGCAUUUUUAACAUUUGUUCUUCCUAGAAUGGCUGUGUUUAUGGCUUUCUCUUUGCAAAUUUUUGUAUGUUUAAAUGCCUGCAUGUAUGUAUGCACUACCUAGGGCCUGGGAGAGGGCUGAAGAUCUCCUGAGAGUAGCACUUCAAAUAUUUACCAAGCAAAGGAAACAUUUUUUUCUAAUGAAUUCUGUGUAUUUGGGGCUAGAAUAGGGAUUCCCACACAUGAUUUAAAACCAUUAAUACUCUAUGGACUGAAGGGAGAGCUCAGUGUUUGAGAGAACUCCCUCUCUUGGGCAGUACUUGAGUUCAGUUUCUAGCAACAACCUGUGGGUUCUGAAGUUCAGAUCAUAAAGAGUUGGCUUAAA